AUAGCGUAUAUUAAAGUUGUUGCAGUUAAAAAGCUCGUAGUUGGAUUUCUGGGAGGGUGCCAAUGUCCGCUCGUUCGCGUGUGCAGCGGCGCCCUUCCAUCCUUCUGUUAACGUUUCUUGGUAUUCAUUUACUGGUUGCGGGCUCAGAUAUUUUACCUUGAGAAAAUUAGAGUGUUUAAGGCAGGCUUGUGCCCGAAUACAUUAGCAUGGAAUAAUAGAAUAGGACUUUGGUCUCCUUUGUUGGUUUGAGGGACUAGAGUAAUGAUUAAUAGGGACAGUUGGGGGCAUUAGUAUUUAAUUGUCAGAGGUGAAAUUCUCGGAUUUGUUAAAGACUAACUUAUG
Molecule: ribosomal RNA, 342 nt
Filed under: uncultured eukaryote
Lineage: Eukaryota
Description: SSU rRNA
Rfam family: Eukaryotic small subunit ribosomal RNA
Source: RNAcentral